This 207-nucleotide long non-coding RNA is filed under the name Elaeis guineensis (African oil palm). RNAcentral describes it as "long non-coding RNA (EGUI_LNC033097)". Lineage: Eukaryota; Viridiplantae; Streptophyta; Magnoliopsida; Arecales; Arecaceae. The record is from RNAcentral.
CCAACCUUUCCUUAGGAGUCUCCACCAAAAGACAUAAAAAAAAAUAAGGAAAAGAAGGACAUAGAGAAACAAAGGGAUAGAAAGCCAAGAAAAGAGGAUUGAGAAGGAUCCGCGGACCUACCAAAGAGUUACAAGAGAUGGGGGACUUUGAUAGGGACUUGGUGGACACCACAAAGCAAAUGAUGGGGGAGGACAACAACAAGUCUG